GAUGAACGCUGGCGGCGUGCCUAAUACAUGCAAGUCGAGCGAACGGACGAGACGCUUGCUUCUCUGAUGUUAGCGGCGGACGUGUGAGUAACACGUGGAUAACCUACCUAUAAGACUGGGAUAACUUCGGGAAACCGGCGCUAAUCCCGGAUAAUCUUUUGAACCGCAUGGUUCAAAAGUAAAAGACGGUCUUUCUGUCACUUCUAGCUGGAUCCGCGCUGCAUUAGCUAGUUGGUAAGGUAACGGCUUACCAAGGCAACGAUGCAUAGCCGACCUGAGAGGGGGAUCGGCCACACUGGAACUGAGACACGGUCCAGACGCCUACGGGAGGCAGCAGUAGGGAAUCUUCCGCAAUGGGCGAAAGCCUGACGGAGCAACGCCGCGUGAGUGAUGAAGGUCUUCGGAUCGUAAAACUCUGUUAUUAGGGAAGAACAGAUGUGGAAGUAACUGUGCACAUCUUGACGGUACCUAAUCAGAAAGCCACGGCUAACUACGUG
RNAcentral lists this ribosomal RNA (497 nucleotides) under uncultured bacterium. RNAcentral's name for it is "partial 16S ribosomal RNA". It matches the Rfam family "Bacterial small subunit ribosomal RNA", at positions 28 to 507 of the family's 1533-position model. The record is from RNAcentral.